GCAGCGCGGGGCCCGUCUGCCGCCAUCAUGCUGGCGCUGCUGUCGCGGUUGCUGGACUGGUUCCGCUCGCUCUUCUGGAAGGAGGAGAUGGAGCUGACGCUGGUGGGGCUGCAGUACUCGGGCAAGACCACCUUCGUCAACGUCAUCGCGUCAGGCCAGUUCAGUGAAGAUAUGAUCCCUACGGUGGGCUUCAACAUGAGGAAGGUUACCAAGGGUAAUGUCACAAUAAAGAUCUGGGAUAUAGGAGGGCAGCCACGGUUCCGAAGCAUGUGGGAGAGAUAUUGCAGAGGAGUCAAUGCUAUUGUGUACAUGGUAGAUGCUGCAGAUCGUGAAAAGAUAGAAGCCUCUCGAAAUGAGCUGCAUAAUCUUCUAGACAAACCACAAUUACAAGGAAUCCCUGUUUUAGUACUUGGAAACAAGAGGGACCUUCCAAAUGCCUUGGAUGAAAAACAGCUAAUUGAAAAGAUGAAUCUGGCUGCAAUUCAAGAUAGAGAAAUUUGCUGCUAUUCAAUUUCUUGCAAAGAAAAGGAUAAUAUAGACAUUGGAGGCUGUUUGCAGUCUGCUCUCCAAGGAACAGAAGGCUCCAUGUUCCACCCACUUGGAGUUUAUUAGGCAGCCAGUUAGUUGAGGAAUAAGGCCGUUUAUGACUUCACGUGACAAGUGCUGUGACUAGGGACAGACUGUUACAUUGUCAGCAUGUGGGAAGCUAUGUUGCCUGGUGGCAAUUACUAUGACAUCUCGCUUCACCAUCUGGGUAGGACCUGACCAGAACAUAGUGACCAAAUGAGCAACUUGGUUUCAUAUUAUAAAGAUAUCACACUUCAGUGGCUUAUUCAGCAUUCAAAAUCUCGAAGAAGUUGAAGUCUUCCUGGAGUCUCCUGUACCAGUUGGCCAUAAUCUCAAUUGUCCACUCCCUCCAUGAUGAAAUACUACCCAAUAGUCCUGUAUCAAGAAAUUGCCUUUUUCACAGUUCAUUUCCCAUGUGCACUGCUGAAGACUUGUAUUUUUAUUCUGUCACAGAAUGAACUAGAGUUGUCAUGAUAAAGUCAGCAAAAAGGUUUGUUUUACAGCCAUCUAAACAGUGGGGGAAGCAGGGGGGAGCCUUUUUAAAAUUAUCUCUGCCAUAUUUGAAUCGAAGAAAUAGUACAUUUCUGUUCUGGUUUUUCAUGGCCAGGCUUUUAUAUUUGAUUUUUCAGCAAAUGUUAAUAGAAUGUUUUAUUUCUAGUGUUUAGUGGCUUGAGGAUGCUGACACUGCACAGCAUUGAGAUUCUAACGCCACACGUGGUAGUUGGAGAACCUUAAGGCGUGACUUUAUGUGGGAUAUUAACUUAUUGUUAUCUCACAAAUGCAUGUGGUGUGUGUGUAUAUAUAGUAAGCCUGAGAAUUGGAAACUGUCUGCAAAGGGGGGGGGGAAAGCACAAGGCACUAGAUCAGCAUCACUAGUCUUCUACAGCUGUGAGAUGAUCCAGUCAUUUUAAACACCACUUUUUUCCAAUAAGUUAGAAAACCCAAAUAGUUAAACAGUUUGUAUCAAGAUCAUUAUUUGUAUCUCUCUUUCAUUUUGUUUUAAAACUUGCAUAGGGAAUGGGAAAUGCAUUUGCUUUGUCAAAAGAUGUCAAUGGUUAUGUAUUCCAGCAGACUAAACACAUUUGCUAGGAAUGUAAGACUGCUCAAAUGCACGUUGUUUUUUUCUUUUUGUUUUUUUUUCUUGUCUCCGGAUGCUUUAAGUUUAUCUCUGUCUGAAACACCAGAAUGUGAAGUCUGAGCUGCUGCAUGACACUCAAAUUACAGCGGGUUUGGGUCUUUCUUUUAAUCAAGUCCAUACUGUCGACUUUCAGCACAAUAUCUGUGUAACUGUCUAGUGUGUGUGUGUGUCUUUCUCAUGGAAUAGCUGGGCACAGUUUCAUCUGGUGCUGGGAAACAACUCUAAGCCUGCCUGUUUUUUUUUUUUUUUUUUCUCAAUGUAAUCAAGUGCAAAGUCUGCAGGCGGCAAGAUGAAAUGUUUCACUGUGUCUUGAAGCACAAGAGAGCCAAUGAAUUGAUCCUGUUUCUUGAUUUAGCUUCUGUCGUAUAAAGAAAUAUGUAUAAACUAAAGAUUGUAAUGUUUUUGUAGCUUUACUUUCUCGUUGACUUCAAUAUGUUUAAAGGGACAGACUUGUUAAGACUGGUUUGUUCAUACAACAAUGUCAAUGUAGUCCAGUGUAGUAUAUACAAAUAUAUGGUACACCUGCUUGUGUUUCUUCACUGUGUAACUUUAAAGUAGCACCUAAAUGUAGAUUUAGGCAAUGUAUUUUUUCAGAGACUUUAGUUGAAAACACUUGAGUCCGCUCUGCGUGUGUGUACAAGACAAACCAGUUUUUAAUUUAGACUGUCAUGGCCUUACUGUUCUGUACAAACUACUGCACUGUUGCACAGACAUUACAUGUUGCCUCCAUUUACAAACUAGGCUUGCAUUUUAACUUUUUUUGUCCACUUUUAGUCCUGAGGCAUGAUUUCAAUUAAUCCCAUACUCUUGUUGGUGCUGUAGAGAAGGGUAUAUUAACUUGCUGCUGUAGUGAGUAGUUUGCCAUGAACUACUACAGUUACUUUUAUUUAGCAACUUUGCUUGUGCCUAAAAUAAGGAAACUGAAUUAGAAUGUGUGAGUCUACAUGGGGACCAGGUCACUGAGUUAACUGGCUAAUAGCUGAACUUGAUGUGUUUGGUGUGUAUCUACUUCACUGCUUUUAGCAUUUAUGGCAUCCAAACACUACCAACUGUUAACCUUCACAUUAACCUCUGCAUGUGAACAACUUAUACAAUUAUUGAACUUUGUAAAUAAGUGAAUUUUUUUUUAUUUAGGUGGAUGCAUAUUGUUGGUUUAUUGCUCUUCAGCUUUAUUCAAUAAACUUAACAUUUUGAGGGUUGUAUUGACA
Molecule: RNA transcript, 2913 nt
Organism: Alligator sinensis (Chinese alligator)
Lineage: Eukaryota; Metazoa; Chordata; Crocodylia; Alligatoridae
Gene: ARL8B
Gene name: ADP ribosylation factor like GTPase 8B
Exons: 8
Source: RefSeq, a predicted model, not a curated record